Chelonia mydas (Green sea turtle) is the source of this 1118-nucleotide long non-coding RNA. RefSeq lists it as uncharacterized. Lineage: Eukaryota; Metazoa; Chordata; Testudines; Cheloniidae. The transcript is spliced from 2 exons. The record is from RefSeq and is a predicted model, not a curated record.
GUGGUGGUGCAGAUGUAUUCUCAUCUGGUGCACAGCCAGCUGGCUUUCUGCAAGGCCUAGGCUUCAGUCUUCACUGAGCCAUAUAGCUUGAGCACUGAGGGAACUCACCAGGUUCCAUAUCGCUCCACCAGAGCUCCUCUUCUCUGAAAAGAUACAUGUGUAUGGGCUGGGUCUCAGUGACUUUAAAACCUGCAGCCUCAGGGAGUCCUGAGACCAACACCCACCCCCAACCGGCCUUCCACAAGAAGAUGCUGCAGAGCAGAAGCUCCCCCUGCACUCCCUGCCCCACAGCGGCUACAUCCUGGCCCCUGCAAGGCCGAGAGGCAGGAGGCAUCUAGAGAAUUCCCUCCUGUCUCUACAUGGGAAUUGGUUGUGGGGGGAGGGGGUCAGCUGGAUCCAGUGGAUAAAAGCCUGGCUAGUGGCCUAAGGAGAACCACCUGGCCCUUCAGCAGCAGAGCAGUGACUGGCUGCAAUCUGAGCCUCUUCCCAGCCAGGGGCAGGCUGGGCAGUUGGCCCAGCAUCCAAGGACCCUGCUUGGGAGAGGGCCAGAGCUGCUGAGGAGCAAGAGGCCUCCUGUAGCUGAAGCUGCCCUGAUGCCCAGAUGUGGCCUUGAGGAACACCCCACACACACCAGCCAAGCAUCUCCGCCAGAUAAGAAAGUGCCCAAGAUGGAGCAAAGAUGACAUGUUCUGGGAGGUACUGCACUUCUCCAAUGCAGAGAAAAGCGCACACUAGGAGUGGAGGGAAGCCAAAAGGCAGGCAGAAAAGAAAAUCAGGAGUUUGUUAAGGGCGCUACUGAGUGGAUGAUUAAAGUCAUGGAGGAGCAAACGCAGAUGCUAAAAUCCUUAAUAAUGCUGCAGAUGGAGCAGAUGCAUGCCCGCCCUCCCCUGCAGCACAUUCAGAACUCUUUUUGGUGUCUCCCUCCAAAAAACUCUGCCCGCACCAUCCUUUCUGGGACUACUCCAUCCCAUCGGACAACUUUCAAAAUGACAGCUGGACCUACACACAGCUCUGAAAGUCUGCCCUUCCCUGGUACCUCCUUUCCCACCAAGCAGCUUUGUGGGUGUGGGUGUGGGGGUGGUUUCUUGUGCAAUAAAAGCAAAGUUUUUGAACAGUAA